CGGCGUGCCUAAUACAUGCAAGUCGAACGGGUCGAGAGACUCGGUUCUGACUUAGUGGCGAACGGGUGAGUAACGCGUGAGCAACCUGACUCAAAGAGGGGGACAACAGCUGGAAACGGCUGCUAAUACCGCAUAAGACCACAAUGUCGCAUGACGAAGGGGUCAAAGAGAUUCGCUUUGAGAGGGGCUCGCGUCCCAUUAGAUAGUUGGUGAGGUAACGGCCCACCAAGUCCGCGAUGGGUAGCCGAGCUGAGAGGCUGAUCGGCCACACUGGAACUGAGACACGGUCCAGACUCCUACGGGAGGCAGCAGUAGGGAAUAUUGGGCAAUGGGCGCAAGCCUGACCCAGCAACGCCGCGUGAGGGAAGAAGGUUUUCGGAUUGUAAACCUCUGUCCUAUGUGACGAAGGAAGUGACGGUAGCAUAGGAGGAAGCCCCGGCUAACUACGUGCCAGCAGCCGC
This 461-nucleotide ribosomal RNA is filed under the name uncultured bacterium. Its description in RNAcentral is "bacterial SSU rRNA". It matches the Rfam family "Bacterial small subunit ribosomal RNA", at positions 40 to 518 of the family's 1533-position model. The record is from RNAcentral.